AUACGUAGGGGGCGAGCGUUGUCCGGAAUGAUUGGGCGUAAAGGGCGCGUAGGCGGCGCGGUAAGUCUGGAGUGAAAGUCCUGCUUUCAAGGUGGGAAUUGCUUUGGAUACUGCCGCGCUUGAGUGCAGGAGAGGUUAUCGGAAUUCCCGGUGUAGCGGUGAAAUGCGUAGAGAUCCGGAGGAACACCAGUGGCGAAGGCGGGUAACUGGACUGCAACUGACGCUGAGGCGCGAAAGUGUGGGGAGCAAACAGGAUUAGAUACCCUGGUAGUCCACACUGUAAACGAUGAAUGCUAGGUGUAAGAGGUAUCGACCCCUUUUGUGCCGGAGUCAACACAAUAAGCAUUCCGCCUGGGGAGUACGGCCGCAAGGUUGAAACUCAAAUGAAUUGACGGG
RNAcentral lists this ribosomal RNA (396 nucleotides) under uncultured bacterium. RNAcentral's name for it is "partial 16S ribosomal RNA". It matches the Rfam family "Bacterial small subunit ribosomal RNA", at positions 523 to 917 of the family's 1533-position model. The record is from RNAcentral.